This 2114-nucleotide long non-coding RNA is filed under the name Sorghum bicolor (sorghum). RNAcentral describes it as "long non-coding RNA (SBIC_LNC005209)". Lineage: Eukaryota; Viridiplantae; Streptophyta; Magnoliopsida; Poales; Poaceae. The record is from RNAcentral.
AUGCUGGGGAUGACAACCUAGUAUUCAAGUGGUGUUAGCAAGUGUCAACAAGCUUUUUGGCACCGUUGCCGGGGAGACGGUUACUGAGUUGACUACGAACUAGCUUAAUCAUUUUCUAAAAAAUAAAAAAAAUAUAUUUUUCCUUUUAUCCUUUGCCUCAUCUCUACUAUUCUUUCUUCUUAUCUAAUCCUUGAUUUCUGGUCUAUCAUGAAUGCAAACAUGUCUAUCUAUCAGUUUAAUAGACCUACGGGCACACAUCUCGAACCACCAAAAUCUUCAAAGCCUAUAAUAGCAUCUAGUUUUGAGAUAGACCCCGAAUACAUAGAAUUUGUUCAAAAACAACCUUUCUCAGGAGAAUGUGAGGAAAACCCAUACACACACCUAAGAGAGUUUUAUCGAGUCUGUGACCUCCUUCGCGUAGAAGGCAUGUCCGAUGAGACCCUUAAAUGGAAGCUCCUUCCGUUCUCUUUAAGAGGAAAAGCUAGACAUUGGUGUUGACGGUCCUUAAGUACCAAAUUUAAUCAUCAAAUAAAUAAAGAAAAGGAUCCAAAUGCAACCAAAACCCAGACUUAGGGUUUUAUCUGACAGAAUUCCAUGAGUUUUGGUGUUUGUCUAUUUCUGCAGGGGGUUAUCAGGAAAUAUGGAAGAAAGGCCCACAUGUCGGGUUUACAUAGAGAUAUUAACGUGCCGCGCAAUUUUCUAUCAUCUAGAAGGCUCCAGAAGCCACGGGAACGAACGGGAAGCCGAGCGAGCUCAGGGACAGGGCGCCCGCCCUACUUUUUCCACCAAUCAUGAUCAACCUCGUGGAUUAUGCUCCACCGACCUAAAGGAUCAACAAAAACCGUGCGAUUAAUGUCGGUUUGAUCCGACGACCCAGAUUCACAUGAGGGGACUAUAUAAGCAGACCCCCUAGCCCAUGGAGGAGGCACCCCUUGAUCCCUAUUCAUUAUUCAUAGACAGAGCAAAAGCAAGGGUUUGGAGAUGAGAGCUAUCCUCUCUUCUCUAAACUAGAGUAGAUCUAGAUAGUAGCGAGAUGGAGAGCGAGGGAGGAUUGGAGGAGAGGCCGGCCUGUCGGUUCUUCCUCCGGUUGUACUUCGUCAUGAUCAAGCUCUAAUCAAGCUUUCUCAAGGGAUGACUCUGGUAAUCUACUUCUAUUUCGUUAUGCAAUUACUAUCCAUGUAUGUUCUGGUUCACAACUCUUUUGAGUACUUUAAUCUAUAGGGCGCUAUAGGUGAGAGUUGUAGUACAGGUGUAAGCGUGGUGCUUAGACCUAGAUUACCUGUGGAUACCCCCUGUCUAGCCGGAUCGUGUGGUAGGCCACGUAGGUGACAGUUACGUUGGUCCCCUAUAGUCCACCUCCCAUUAGCAGGACUGGUAGGGUUUAUUGGCCUAUGGAUAAGCAUCCUUUGUGGUGUAAUCUUAUCACGUGGUUCGUCCCAAACAUAGACAUACCCCUUUGAAGUAGAGAAACCAUAGUUAUCCUGUCUAUUCUCCUACCAUCGCCCAUAUACUAGAUUGCUCUACUCUCUAUUCCCAUUUUAUCACCCAUUGUUAUCUCACCUUUAAUAUUAUUCGUAUUCAAUUCUUCCAUCUUUCCUAUUUACACCUACCUAUCUAUCUAGGUUAAGUUAGAGCGUAGAUCAGCUCUCCCGUUUCCCUGUGGAUACGAUAAAACCUUUAACCGGGUAAAAGCUACAACAGUAUCCGUGCGCUUGCGGAUUUAUCUGUGUGCGUAUAAAUACCAUAGUACACUCUAGUGCCAUGCUGGGGAUGACAACCUAGUAUUCAAGUGGUGUUAGCAAGUGUCAACAAGCUUUUUGGCACCGUUGCCGGGGAGACGGUUACUGAGUUGACUACGAACUAGCUUAAUCAUUUUCUAAAAAAUAAAAAAAAUAUAUUUUUCCUUUUAUCCUUUGCCUCAUCUCUACUAUUCUUUCUUCUUAUCUAAUCCUUGAUUUCUGGUCUAUCAUGAAUGCAAACAUGUCUAUCUAUCAGUUUAAUAGACCUACGGGCACACAUCUCGAACCACCAAAAUCUUCAAAGCCUAUAAUAGCAUCUAGUUUUGAGAUAGACCCCGAAUACAUAGAAUUUGUUCAAAAACAACCUUUCUCAGG